UCACAGCUGAGGAGUCCCAUAAUAGGACGAAACGGCCGUUCAGUGU
Non-coding RNA from Schistosoma curassoni, 46 nucleotides. NCBI's taxonomy places the organism in Eukaryota, Metazoa, Platyhelminthes, Trematoda, Strigeidida, Schistosomatidae. The record is from Rfam.